UAGGGAAUCUUCCACAAUGGGCGCAAGCCUGAUGGAGCAACACCGCGUGAGUGAAGAAGGGUUUCGGAUCGUAAAACUCUGUUGGUAGAGAAGAACGUUGGUGAGAGUGGAAAGCUCAUCAAGUGACGGUAACUACCCAGAAAGGGACGGCUAACUACGUGCUAG
This 165-nucleotide ribosomal RNA is filed under the name uncultured bacterium. Its description in RNAcentral is "partial 16S ribosomal RNA". It matches the Rfam family "Bacterial small subunit ribosomal RNA", at positions 355 to 511 of the family's 1533-position model. The record is from RNAcentral.